Molecule: long non-coding RNA, 761 nt
Organism: Anolis sagrei ordinatus
Lineage: Eukaryota; Metazoa; Chordata; Lepidosauria; Squamata; Anolidae
Source: RefSeq, a predicted model, not a curated record
GUUCCUUUGUCGUCAGUUCUAAUUGUUUAUGAAGAAGGGAUUGCUAGACACAACAAAGUGCCCUCAAGCUCAGAAAGAACAAAGCUUCUGCUUCCAGUUACGUCAUCUAUGUACAGUAUACGGCUGAUUUCUUGAAGAAUGUAUUCGGAUCAACAAUUUUUUCAGUCAAUCUCUCUACUCCUUCAUUUCAUGAUCAUAGACCAAACUUUUUCUAGAAUUUUGAUCUCUUUCCAAGGACAUCCUGCAGCACAUUUUGCUAUAGUUUUUCAGCGAAUAUCUCAUUGAAUCUCAACCAAUUCAACAUAGUUUGUGGCAGCCACAAAAGAAAAGUUUCUGGAGUAUGACAACUACUUUCAAAAUAAGUACCACACAAUUAAACAGGAAAUAACACUUUCAAACCAGGAACAGUAAUGUUUUUAAAUUCUGUUACAUGGUUUUUUUUAGUGGUUUGGUAUGAAUAAAAAAUUACUGUGCUUUCAUAGAAUACUUGAUGCUUUAGCUCACCUUUUUACAGUAGUGAAAGUAUUAGAAACUUGGAUUAAAUUCCAUUGAGUUUAAUAAAUGCCAGCAAGUAGGGAAUCUCAGACCUUCAGAUAUUCGAAUAUGUGGCGUAUAUUCACAGAACAUAAUUAAAAUGGUGACAGCAUAAGGACACCAACACCACCUACUAACCUAUUCUACUCCUCAGUGGUCCCACCCUCUAAUUCCAUUUUAAUAGUAAUUAUAGUUUUGCAUCCAAUCUCGUUCUUAAAUUUCAUAGG